This is a long non-coding RNA of Anolis carolinensis (green anole), 829 nucleotides long. RefSeq lists it as uncharacterized. The transcript is spliced from 3 exons. The record is from RefSeq and is a predicted model, not a curated record. Lineage: Eukaryota; Metazoa; Chordata; Lepidosauria; Squamata; Anolidae.
GCUAGCCUCACUACUACCAGUAGGCCUCAAGGGGUCCGUUGCCAUGGCAACUGGCACCUAGGCAACAAGAUGAUGCAGGAUGGAGAAGGAAGGGGGUCUCCAUUGUGCCUAUUUGUCAUGCUGGAAUGUGUGGGAAGUCCAGCCUGAUGAAGUGUGGACAGGUUUUUUUGAAGCAGCCAACAUCCAGCACCGCCGGGGAUAUGACUCUUCUGACAUCAGAACAACAACCACAACCAAAAAAAGCCAUUCUGUGCUACUUCAAGGGACAAGCCGGACAUGAGCCAACACUAUGAUGCAGCAACUCAAAAAGUCAAUGCGAUUCUAGGCUGUAGAAGGAGCCUAAGACAAUAUAAAAGAAGUCCUUGGAUUUGGAGAGCUUGAUGGUGGCCCCGGUUUCCUUCUGCAGUUGGACGAUGGUUUGGCCGCCUUUGCCGAUGAUGGAUCCGGCCGCAUAGCUGGGGAUCAGGACCUUCAGGAAGUAUUCGCCGUCCUCUGGAAAAGAAAGGGACAAAAAAGAUAUCUCAUCAUCCGAAUCCUUGGCCAAAUGAAAGCCAUGGAUCACUCCCACACAGCCCUCCCAGGUUCUGCUGCAUGGAGCUGGAAGGCGGAAACAGCUCCCAGAGGCACCGCAUCAUAAAAGAGAAUGUGAUGGCUUCUGCAAAAUGCAACCCGAAUCUUGGCACAGCAACGGAUGCAGGAAGAUGCUACUGGGAUCCAGCAAAGGUAGCUUUUCCCUCCAUCGUGGUAAAUGAUAACACACUUUCUUCUUCUUCUUCUUCUUUGCAGACAUUAAUAAAAAUCAGGCCACACAGCUCCUCAAUACACCCAA